Molecule: ribosomal RNA, 516 nt
Filed under: Triticum aestivum (bread wheat)
Lineage: Eukaryota; Viridiplantae; Streptophyta; Magnoliopsida; Poales; Poaceae
Description: partial small subunit ribosomal RNA
Source: RNAcentral
AUGGUGGCGGAGCAGGAGGUGGUGGAGCAGGAACGGGCGGUGGACAGCACCGAAGCUCUGAUCUUGGCGGCCAAGGUAGCGGCAGCGGCGAACAGGAGAGGGAGCUCGCCCCCGACGUCGGAGUCGUCAACUGGGAAGAUGAAUCCCCGGGCGCCUGGAUGGAAUAAGAGGCUGAUGCAGAGGAGGGAUUUUUUUUUUAAGUUUUGGGGGUCCACUCUGCUUGAGGAGGUAGGGGAGAGUUUGGUGCCGGCCCUUGUGGCUGUGAAUGGCCUUGCGGUGGUGGAUUUGGAGGUGCCACAGCAGGCGGAGCACAAGGCGGCACAACAUUGGGCAGUGGACAGCAGCCAAGGACAAAUCUUCUCGACGAAGGAGGCGGUGGCCGACACAAGGGAGAGCUCACGUCCGACUUCGGAGCUGUCAAUGGGGAAGAUGAAUCCCCAAGCGUCGGGGUGGAACAGAGUGGUUAGUGAAGAGAAACUUGCAUCCCAUCAGAGAAUCAGGGAUUUAGGGAAAUAG